RNAcentral lists this ribosomal RNA (293 nucleotides) under uncultured bacterium. RNAcentral describes it as "partial 16S ribosomal RNA". It matches the Rfam family "Bacterial small subunit ribosomal RNA", at positions 505 to 796 of the family's 1533-position model. The record is from RNAcentral.
GUGUCAGCCGCCGCGGUAAUACGUAGGGGGCGAGCGUUGUCCGAAGUUACUGGGCGUAAAGCGCGCGUAGGCGGCUUCUUAAGUCUGAGGUGAAAGGUUCAACGCUUAACGUGAACAGUGCCUUGGAUACUGGGGAGCUUGAGUGUGGCAGAGGAUAGUGGAAUUCCUGGUGUAGCGGUGAAAUGCGUAGAUAUCAGGAGGAACACCCAUGGCGAAGGCAGCUAUCUGGGCUAACACUGACGCUGAGGUGCGAAAGCGUGGGGAGCGAACGGGAUUAGAUACCCCGGUAGUCC